CCUACGGGUGGCUGCAGUGGGGAAUAUUGGACAAUGGGGGGAACCCUGAUCCAGCCAUGCCGCGUGUGUGAAGAAGGCCCUCGGGUUGUAAAGCACUUUCAGUGAGGAAGAACGCCUGGUGGUUAAUACCCAUCAGGAAAGACAUCACUCACAGAAGAAGCACCGGCUAACUCCGUGCCAGCAGCCGCGGUAAUACGGAGGGUGCGAGCGUUAAUCGGAAUUACUGGGCGUAAAGCGCGCGUAGGUGGCUUGAUAAGCCGGUUGUGAAAGCCCCGGGCUCAACCUGGGAACGGCAUCCGGAACUGUCAAGCUAGAGUGCAGGAGAGGAAGGUAGAAUUCCCGGUAUAGCGGUGAAAUGCGUAGAGAUCGGGAGGAAUACCAGUGGCGAAGGCGGCCUUCUGGACUGACACUGACACUGAGGUGCGAAAGCGUGGGUAGCAAACAGGAUUAGAUACCCCUGUAGUC
This 465-nucleotide ribosomal RNA is filed under the name Vreelandella stevensii. RNAcentral's name for it is "partial 16S ribosomal RNA". It matches the Rfam family "Bacterial small subunit ribosomal RNA", at positions 338 to 795 of the family's 1533-position model. The record is from RNAcentral. Lineage: Bacteria; Pseudomonadati; Pseudomonadota; Gammaproteobacteria; Oceanospirillales; Halomonadaceae.